This 1139-nucleotide ribosomal RNA is filed under the name uncultured crenarchaeote. RNAcentral's name for it is "bacterial SSU rRNA". It matches the Rfam family "Archaeal small subunit ribosomal RNA", at positions 284 to 1478 of the family's 1478-position model. The record is from RNAcentral. Lineage: Archaea; Thermoproteati; Thermoproteota.
ACUAGUGAUUCGCCGUGCCCAGCGGGGCACGGGGGGACGGGGCGCAGCAGGCGCGAAACCUCUGCAAUAGGCGAAAGCUUGACAGGGUUACUCUGAGUGAUGUCCGCUAAGGGCAUCUUUUGGCACCUCUAAAAAUGGUGCAGAAUAAGGGGUGGGCAAGUCUGGUGUCAGCCGCCGCGGUAAUACCAGCACCCCGAGUGGUCGGGACGAUUAUUGGGCCUAAAGCAUCCGUAGCUUGUUCUGCAAGUCCUCCGUUAAAUCCACCUGCUCAACAGAUGGGCUGCGGAGGAUACUACAGGGCUAGGAGGCGGGAGAGGCAAACGGUACUCAGUGGGUAGGGGUAAAAUCCUCUGAUCCAUUGAAGACCACCAGUGGCGAAGGCGGUUUGCCAGAACGCGCUCGACGGUGAGGGAUGAAAGCUGGGGGAGCAAACCGGAUUAGAUACCCGGGUAGUUCCAGCUGUAAACGAUGCAGACUCGGUGAUGGGUUGGCUUCGAGCCAACCCAGUGGCCGCAGGGAAGCCGUUAAGUCUGCCGCCUGGGGAGUACGGUCGCAAGACUGAAACUUAAAGGAAUUGGCGGGGGAGCUCCACAAGGGGUGAAGCCUGCGGUUCAAUUGGAGUCAACGCCGGGAAUCUUACCGGGGGCGACAGCAGUGUGAAGGUCAAGCUGAAGACUUUACCAGACAAGCUGAGAGGAGGUGCAUGGCCGUCGCCAGCUCGUGCCGUGAGGUGUCCUGUUAAGUCAGGUAACGAGCAAGAUCCCUGCCUCUAGUUGCUACCACUGUUCUCCGGAACGGAGGGGCUAAUUAGAGGGACCGCCGCCGCUGAGGCGGAGGAAGGAGGGGGCUACGGCAGGUCAGUAUGCCCCGAAACCCUCGGGCCACACGCGGGCUGCAAUGGUAAGGACAGCGAGUUCCGAUUCCGAAAGGAGGAGGCAAUCUCACAAACCUUACCUCAGUUAUGAUUGAGGGCUGAAACUCGCCCUCAUGAAUAUGGAAUCCCUAGUAACCGCGUGUCACCAUCGCGCGGUGAAUACGUGGGUGAUCCUUGCACGAAUUCGCCGAAUCCCGCGGCCAUGGCGGCCUGUGAGCAUGCGAGAAAGGGCCCAAUUCUCCCUAUAGGAGUGAUAUUACAAUUC